UACGUAGAGUGCAAGCGUUGUCCGGAAUUAUUGGGCGUAAAGGGUACGCAGGCGGAUAGUAAAGUCAAGCGUGAAAGGUGUCGGCUUAACCGACAGACUGCGUUUGAAACUGAUUAUCUUGAGUGUAACAGAGGAGAGUGGAAUUCCUAGUGUAGUGGUGAAAUACGUAGAUAUUAGGAAGAACACCAGUGGCGAAGGCGACUCUCUGGGUUAACACUGACGCUGAGGUACGAAAGCUGGGGGAGCAAACGGGAUUAGACGUACCCGGUACGU
This 273-nucleotide ribosomal RNA is filed under the name uncultured bacterium. Its description in RNAcentral is "partial 16S ribosomal RNA". It matches the Rfam family "Bacterial small subunit ribosomal RNA", at positions 524 to 794 of the family's 1533-position model. The record is from RNAcentral.